UACGUAGGGUGCGAGCGUUACUCGGAAUUACUGGGCGUAAAGCGCGCGCAGGCGGCUGCGCAAGUCGGGUGUGAAAUCCCCGAGCUUAACUUGGGAAUUGCGCUCGAAACUACGUGGCUCGAGUGUGGCAGAGGAAGGUGGAAUUCCACGUGUAGCGGUGAAAUGCGUAGAGAUGUGGAGGAACACCGAUGGCGAAGGCAGCCUUCUGGGCCGACACUGACGCUCAUGCACGAAAGCGUGGGGAGCAAACAGG
This 253-nucleotide ribosomal RNA is filed under the name uncultured bacterium. Its description in RNAcentral is "partial 16S ribosomal RNA". It matches the Rfam family "Bacterial small subunit ribosomal RNA", at positions 524 to 776 of the family's 1533-position model. The record is from RNAcentral.